ACAACUUCUAACGGUGGAUCUCUAGGCUCGUGCAU
Molecule: ribosomal RNA, 35 nt
Filed under: Physalia physalis
Lineage: Eukaryota; Metazoa; Cnidaria; Hydrozoa; Siphonophorae; Physaliidae
Also listed under: 3 other names
Description: partial 5.8S rRNA
Source: RNAcentral